Stegodyphus dumicola is the source of this 3000-nucleotide long non-coding RNA. NCBI's taxonomy places the organism in Eukaryota, Metazoa, Arthropoda, Arachnida, Araneae, Eresidae. The record is from RefSeq and is a predicted model, not a curated record.
UUUUUCAAUAAUUUUCAUUACAAGAACUUUCUAUACAAAUCCCUUUAAAAGUAUCAUCAGUUAUAACUUUCAAGUAAAAAAAAAAAUAAAAAUAAAAAUAAUAAUAAAAAAAAAAAAAAAAAAAAAACUCUUUCUCUGAAACUAACAGGGCUAAAGAAAGAGAAUCCAAGAACUAAAGAUUCAAUCUUUCCACUUGAUGCUCUGGUCAGUCGACGACGGGACGAACCCAGUGACGUCAUAUAACAUCCGGUAUGCUCCCCAAGAGGGGUUCGUGUCGGCAUCGUUAUUCUCAAAGGGAUGACCCAGCCCUUCUCUUUCUUUAGCCCUAGGUUUGGUCGCCGCCGUACCUUUUACCAUCUCACAUGACCUCAGCGAAUUAUCGGAUCAUUCUUGAGCACGUUUUUCCGUGGCUUACUUGAUGUAAGCAUAUUUGAUGUAAGUGGGCUGGUUUUUGGCCUCCACGUUCACCUGAUUUACGGAGCCUUGAUUUUAUUUGUGAGAAUCCCCCAAAGCUAUAAUUUAUCACGAUCCUCUGAAGUCUGAAAUGGAUGCUGUGGCAAGACACGUCUGCGCUGCUUGCUAUAAUCAAAGAAACUCCUGGUGUGUUCAACCAUGUCCGGCAAUCAAUGUUCCGUCGGUUUCAAGCAUGCUUUACGUCUGAUCGGGCAAACUUCAGGCAUCUCUUGUAACAUUAGAGCUGUAUUCCUCUCAUAUGCCAUUUGUACACAUGAUGUCCAAUAAUUUUUUUAAAUUAAUCACUGUCUAGUGUCCUUUCCGAUUUACCUUUGAUCCCACUUUUCCCUGAAGUUUUCUGUCAUGGGUUGCUAUGCAAUCCAUAUGAUGUGCCCUACCUGCUCUAAAAUGUAUCGCUUUAUUUUUAAGAUACCCUGUAUAUGCAUUCCGUUUGGUCAUGAUUCAAUCGAAUUAAUUUUCUCCUUCUUUAGGCAUCUUAAAAAAGAAAGAGCUAAAGUACCGCGUUUUCUGAAAUACAAAGUUUUUAUAACAUAUCCAGUAAUGACGUCCGUACGUAUGAUGAAACGUUUAUAUGAAGAAAAUAUCGUGUUAUAAUGUUCGAAAAUUUUGGAAGAAUUCGUGGAUCAUUAUACAUCUUUAUAAACACAAAUGUGAAGCCUUCAUUUAAUUUACAUAAGCGACACAUUUCUUAAUAAUAUGAAAUGCAGAAAAUAAUUGUUGUUUUAUGCAUAACUAAACUAUUUUGGUUCUGCUUGUGGUAAUUUACGCAGACAGGCGAACUGGCAUUAUAAUCUUUUGUUAUGAUUUCCCUAGUAUGUAUAGAUGAUCAUUGUCUAAAGGUUCAUAUUAUUUACAAGCAAGAAAUUAAAGAUUACAUUACUUAGGAAUUGACUCUGAAAUGCAAUAAUUGAACUUUUGAAAGUUUUAGAAAACCUACAUAUAUCGUUCUGCUUUCGUCUUUCGUAAUUCCGUUCUUAUGCAGUAAAAGCAUUUCAGGUUUUCCGAAAGUGAUGUUUACAUUUCCUGAUUUUUGUCACUUUGCAAGUUAUAUCAUAAUUUGUAACACUGGUGUCUUUAUAAAUUAAAUAAAACGGGUCAGUUCGUCUGGUUUAUCUUUUUUAAUUGCAAGUAUAAAAACGAAAUUACGACGAUAAAAAAGAAAUUAUAUAUGGAAAAAUGUGAAAAAUACCCUUACUUACAAAGCAAAACUCUUGAUCAUUUCGUAUAUUGGCUAUUUCUUCUUUUUGAUUUCCCACCUAAUUUGGGUAUCAAUAUUUGAAACAGGUGAUGUGAUAUUUGGAAAACACUACCACAAUACACCAGCAACGUACAAGUUAGAAUGACGCUGCUUCUAAUUCCUGUGGUUUUAAGGAUAAGCCAUCAAAGUGCUGGGCAGGAUCCUGUCAUCCUACUAAAGUACGCUGGGCUCCUGAUGUUGGUUGCGAAGGUGACAGAGAUGCUGUUUGGCUCUGAUGGUAACUUAUUACUUCUCCGAAUCCACUCGCAAGUCUUGGAGAUUGAUUGUGCCAAAACAUGUUUCAAAAUUUAUUUGUGUCUCCUUCUUUAUGACUACAAAAUCAGAAACACUACUGAGGAACAAUGUCUAUGAAAUGCGUGUCUUAGCUCUGAAUUUUCAUAAAUACAAGGCUGGUAAAUUAAUUCUCUCAAGGCUGAUUGCGUAAAAUUAAUAGAACGACCAUCCUAUACUAAGUAACUGGAAUUCGGUGAAGUGAUAAUGUAGACCUACUGAUUGCAGUAACUGAACAACGUUUCCACUUACCAUUGGUUACAAAUAAUAAACUUGAGUUUCAGGAAGUGGGAACACAUUAGUAUUACCUUUAAUGUUAUUAUCUAUGUAUAUUCGUGCAUAUUAAAAAAUACUGUGUUUUGUACUCAAAGAAAAGCCGGUUUUCACGACUAAUUCAUUUCUUUCUCAAACGCCUUUUGAUAUGACGGCAUUUUUUAUUAUAUCCAUAAUAAACACUCAAGAGAUUCUGAAUACUAUUUCAUUAAAGUUAUGAAAUCAACGUUUGGAAAUCCCGCUGUUUCCUGACAGAGGACUCCAAUGUACAGUUGCUUUCGCUUAUAAAAGGAACCAGAUGCGAAGAAGAAAUAUGUUAUUUACUGGUUUUACAUAGGAAGGAUUUUGGUAGCUCAACUAUUGAAAUAUCACAGAAUAUUAAACAUUUCCUUUAACCACAAUAUUUUCUUCGAUAUUGAUAUAAUGUAUGUCUGGACAGUAUAUAAUGAAUGUGAAUGUAUUUACAUCGUUUUAAAUAUGGAAUAUAAGUCAUGCGUCAUUCUAGAACUGAAAGAAAAAUUUGCACUAACCAACUAGUGAUUGUGCCAACAAAACUCACUGUUAUUUUAACUUUGGAUAAUAUAAGCGGUAUAUUUAGCUUAUUAUGUGAAAUUACUUACCAAGCAUUGUAAUGGAUGUUAAAGUAUUCACUUCACUUAUUUCUUUUGAUGUACAAACAAUCACGUAAUUAAAAGGCUCAAUGACUUCGCAUGUUUGAUCCUUUA